Molecule: long non-coding RNA, 1865 nt
Filed under: Homo sapiens (human)
Lineage: Eukaryota; Metazoa; Chordata; Mammalia; Primates; Hominidae
Description: HSALNT0278893
Source: RNAcentral
CCAUGUCCCAUCCUGAAGCUGGGUGCUUAAAUAGGCUCCCAGCCUCUCUAACAACUUGUACGCCCUUCAUUUUGCCAGCUUGCCAACUGGAAAUGUGUCCAAGGCUUUCUUAUUUGGAACUAGAGGUUCCCAGAGCUACAUUCCUAUUCAACACAACAAAUAAAAGAAAACUAAAAACAUAACUGUUUUGUAAAUCCCCAAAUAAGAGAGUGAAAAGAACAGCCACAACAUCUACCCGAUAGCAUGACUUUAAGCAACUCAACAUAAUUCAAACAUUUAGCAAACAUCGGUUAACAAUAAACCAAGUACCUUCUGCAAGAGCUGGUUGCAGGACAAAUCCUUUUCUAAAGGGACAAAGAUGAAUGCAACUUAAAGUGACAAGAACACUAAGGGAGCAGAAGCAAGCCAUUUAAGGGUAAAAAUGGAAUUUUCUGCUAUAAAGUAAAGCUCUGCAUAAAAAUAAGACAGAACAGGAAAUCUAGUAAGGGUUUAUUCAUAAGACCCCAUGCUGAGGAUUUCAAGGAGACAGUCACGUUUCUGGGUAACUGACUAUGGGAUUGUCCCUCAUGGGGCCAAGUAACCUGUCAAAGCAACGAGGCUUCCUACUCAACAAGCCCUGUGGCCACCCUGCCAGCUGGAGGCUCUAUCUGAAGCCUGGAAACAGCUGUCAACAUGCCUUGAAUCCAACAGGUCCCGAUGUGACCUCGGUCUUUUACCUCCGCACAAAGUUACGGCUUAUGGCUGUUUGGACAGUCUGGUUUGUCGAUCGUUUGGUCGGAAAGUCUGUUUUUUUCUUUUUUGAGAUGGGGCCUUGCUCUCUCACCGAGGCUGCAAUGCAGUGGCACGAUCUCAGCUCACAGCAACAUCCACCUCCCAGGUUCAAGUGAUUCUCCUGUCUCAGCCUCCUGAGUAGCUGGAACUAUAGUCACACGCCACCAUGCCUGGCUAAUUUUUGCAUUUUCAGUUUCACCAUGUUGGCUAGGCUGGUCUCCAACUCCUGACUUCAGGUGAUCCACCUACCUCGGCCUCCCAAAAUGCUGGGAUUACAGGCGUGAGCCACUGCCCGGCCCAAUGCUGUUUUUUUUUUUUUUUUUUUUUUAAUUACUUGCAUUCAUCCUGUGGUUUCCAUCCCAGCUCAUGGCAUCCUGCCCAGGGUAUCACUAACUCCCUCCUCACUUCCUGCCACAGCCUCUUCCCUCUCCCUUUUCUAAGGUUCUCACACACGGCUGCCAGGUUCCUCACCUGAAGGAGAACCCUGAUCACCUCCUGGGGAUGGGCUCUUCUCGAGCAUGGCUUCCAAGUACCCAGAUUCACAGAGGCUUCCUCCUUGAAGAGUCUACAACAGACCUGAUACCAUAAUUGGGCACACAUCCUUCUGAAAUUCCUUCUAGAAAAUGAUUUAAUCUACUAAGAAAGCCCACAUUUGAAUUCAUUCAUUCCAAAAAGAGUCUCCAUCCACUUCCUAGGUUUUGAGCUCUUUUUAUGAGUCCAUGGAAGCUGCCGUGGUUUUCUCUGAGUCCAUGGCCAUAUUUUCCCUCUGGGUUCUUGUUUCUUUUAAGUCUUAUACCUCUAUUAGUAUUAAAGAUCAUCAGCUGUGCUUGAGUGUGGUUAAAUAUUCACUUUCACUUAGACUUCUGACCUAGACACUAACAGCCAACCUUGCUAGAUUCAUCUAAGUAAAGGGAAUGCAACAGGAAAAAAAGCCAAUAAUUUUUGGUUUCCAGAGUGAAAGAAAAAUACUGGGCUGGACAUCAUGAAUCACACCUGUAAUCCCAACACUUUGGGAGGCCAAGGCGGACAGAUCACUUGAGCCCAGGAGUUUGAGACUAGCUGAACAUGGCUAAACCCCAUCUCUACAAAAAACA